This 300-nucleotide ribosomal RNA is filed under the name uncultured Lactobacillus sp. Its description in RNAcentral is "bacterial SSU rRNA". The stretch from base 52 to 300 matches the Rfam family "Bacterial small subunit ribosomal RNA", at positions 547 to 795 of the family's 1533-position model. Lineage: Bacteria; Bacillati; Bacillota; Bacilli; Lactobacillales; Lactobacillaceae. The record is from RNAcentral.
GUGGUGGCGGGGGCGUGAGUCGGGGUGUGACGGAGGGUCGGAUCGUGAAUCGGAAUUACUGGGCGUAAAGCGUGUGGAGGCGGUUUGUUAAGCGAGAUGUGAAAGCCCUGGGCUCAACCUAGGAGUAGCAUUUCGAACUGGCGAACUAGAGUCUUGUAGAGGGGGGUAGAAUUCCAGGUGUAGCGGUGAAAUGCGUAGAGAGCUGGAGGAAUACCGGUGGCGAAGGCGGCCCCCUGGACAAAGACUGACGCUCAUGCACGAAAGCGUGGGGAGCAAACAGGAUUAGAUACCCUUGUAGUC